UUUUUAUGUUGCUUGAAGGAAAUCUUUCCCAGUAACAGAACAAGUCAAAAAGGUUCCUAUGAAUGGUACAAAGGAGGAAUCUACUGAAAGCUCUGAGAGGCGUAGGGGAAAAUAUGGAUUUCAAGUUAAUUCCAAAGUUGGCAGAAAUGUGGCUUCCCGG
Molecule: non-coding RNA, 160 nt
Organism: Coffea arabica (coffee)
Lineage: Eukaryota; Viridiplantae; Streptophyta; Magnoliopsida; Gentianales; Rubiaceae
Source: RefSeq, a predicted model, not a curated record